RNAcentral lists this ribosomal RNA (460 nucleotides) under uncultured bacterium. RNAcentral describes it as "partial 16S ribosomal RNA". It matches the Rfam family "Bacterial small subunit ribosomal RNA", at positions 338 to 795 of the family's 1533-position model. The record is from RNAcentral.
CCUACGGGAGGCUGCAGUGAGGAAUAUUGGUCAAUGGGCUUACGCCUGAACCAGCCAAGUCGCGUGAGGGAAGACUGCCCUAUGGGUUGUAAACCUCUUUUGUCAGGGAGCAACGCCGUCUACGUGUAGCCGUACUGAGAGUACCUGAAGAAAAAGCAUCGGCUAACUCCGUGCCAGCAGCCGCGGUAAUACGGAGGAUUCGAGCGUUAUCCGGAUUUAUUGGGUUAACGGGGUGCGUAGGCGGAAUGCCAAGUCAGCGGUAAACUCGCGGGGCUCAACCUCGCUCCGCCGUUGAAACUGGCGGUCGUGAGUGGGCGAGAGGUAUGCGGAAUGCGUGGUGUAGCGGUGAAAUGCAUAGAGAUCAGGAGGAACACCGGCGGCGAAGGCGGCCUGCUGGACUGCGACUGACGUUGAGGCUCGAAAGCGUGGGGAGCGAACAGGAUUAGAUACCCGUGUAGUC